GUGGCCAAGUUAUGUAGGGCACAUGGUGGAUGCCUUGGUACCAGGGGCCGAUGAAGGACGUGGGAGGCCGCGAUAGUCCUCGAGGAGCUGUCAACCGAGCUGUGAUCCGAGGGUGUCCGAAUGGGGAAACCCAGCCCGAGUGAUGUCGGGUUACUCAUGCCUGAAUGUAUAGGGUAUGAGGGGGAACGCGGGGAAGUGAAACAUCUUAGUACCCGUAGGAAGAGAAAACACUGGUGAUUCCGUGAGUAGUGGCGAGCGAAAGCGGAGGAGGCUAAACCGUGCGCGUGGGAUACCUGGUAGGGGUUGCGUGUGCGGGGUUGUGGGGCACUGUUGGAGGCGGCUACCGACGUCUCAGCGUGGUGUUUCGUGUUAGUUGAACAGGUUGGGAAACCUGGCCGUAGACGGUGAGAGCCCGGUAGGCGAAAAUGCGAUUCAUGCGUGUGAUGGUGUUCCCGAGUAGCAGCGUUUCCGUGGAGGGUGCUGUGAAUCUGGCGGGACCACUCGCUAAGCCUAAAUACUUCCUGGUGACCGAUAGUGGAUAGUACCGUGAGGGAAUGGUGAAAAGUACCCCGGGAGGGGAGUGAAAGAGUUCCUGAAACCGUGUGCCUGCAAACCGUCAGAGCAACCUUAGCAGUUGUGAUGGCGUGCCUUUUGAAGAAUGAGCCUGCGAGUUACUGCUGCGUGGCGAGGUUAACCCGUUGGGGGUAGCCGGAGCGAAAGCGAGUCUGAAUAGGGCGUCUGAGUCGCGUGGUGUAGACCCGAAGCGGAGUGAUCUACCCAUGGCCAGGGUGAAGCGCGGGUAAGACCGUGUGGAGGCCCGAACCCACCAGGGUUGAAAACCUGGGGGAUGAGUUGUGGGUAGGGGUGAAAGGCCAAUCAAACUCCGUGAUAGCUGGUUCUCCCCGAAAUGCAUUUAGGUGCAGCGUUGCGUGUUGCUUGGGUGGGGUAGAGCACUGGUUGGUUGAUGGGCCUUCGCGGGUUACUGAGAUCAGCCAAACUCCGAAUACAUCUGAGUUGAGCGUGGCAGUGAGACGGUGGGGGAGAAGCUUCAUCGUCGAGAGGGAAACAGCCCAGAGCAUCGGCUAAGGCCCCUAAGUGUGCGCUUAGUGGGAAAGGAUGUGGGAUCGCUGAGACAACCAGGAGGUUGGCUUAGAAGCAGCCAUCCUUGAAAGAGUGCGUAAUAGCUCACUGGUCAAGUGGUCCUGCGCCGACAAUGUAGCGGGGCUGAAGCGCACCGCCGAAGCCAUGCCAAUAGCACAUUAGUGUUGUUGGGUAGGGGAGCGUCCUGCACGCGGUGAAGCAGCACUGGAAGGUGUUGUGGAGUGUGUGGGAGUGAGAAUGCAGGCAUGAGUAGCGAGUGAAGAGUGAGAAUCUCUUCCGCCGGAUGACCAAGGGUUCCUGGGGAAGGUUCGUCCGCCCAGGGUGAGUCGGGGCCUAAGGCGAGGCCGACAGGCGUAGUCGAUGGAUAACGGGUUGAUAUUCCCGUACCCGUGCAUACGCGUCCAUAGCGAAACCUUUGAUACUAACCAUCCGCUUGUCACAUGAGUCUUCGGACGAGUGUGAUGGGUGCAUGGGACCUGAUUGGGCGGUAGUUAAGUGAUGGGGUGACGCAGGAGGGUAGCUCUGCCAGUGAGUGGUUGUACUGGUGUAAGCCUGUAGCCCGGUGUGUAGGCAAAUCCGCACACCAUGUGGGUGAGGGGUGAUGCGUAGCCGUUGUGGUGAUGUGAGUGAUCCCAUGCUGUCGAGAAAAGCCUCUAGCGAGUGUGUGCAUGGCCCGUACCCGAAACCGACACAGGUGGUCAGGUAGAGUAUACCGAGGCGGUCGGGUGAACUGUGGUUAAGGAAUUCGGCAAAUUGCCCCCGUAACUUUGGGAGAAGGGGGGCCAUUGCUGGUGAACACCCUUGCGGUGGGAGCUGGUGGUGGUCGCAGAGGCCAGGGAGAAGCGACUGUUUACUAAAAACACAGGUCCAUGCGAAGCUGUAAGGCGAUGUAUAUGGACUGACGCCUGCCCGGUGCUGGAACGUUAAGAGGACCCGUGAACCCGUAAGGGUGUAGCGGAGAAUUUAAGCGCCAGUAAACGGCGGUGGUAACUAUAACCAUCCUAAGGUAGCGAAAUUCCUUGUCGGGUAAGUUCCGACCUGCACGAAUGGCGUAACGACUUCUCCGCUGUCUCGACCACAGGCCCGGUGAAAUUGCAGUACGAGUAAAGAUGCUCGUUUCGCGCGGCAGGACGGAAAGACCCCGGGACCUUUACUAUAGCUUGGUAUUGGUGUUUGGUUCGGCUUGUGUAGGAUAGGUGGGAGACUGUGAAGCAUUCACGCUAGUGGGUGUGGAGUCGUUGGUGAAAUACCACUCUGGUCGUUCUGGGCAUCUAACUCGGGUCCGUGAUCCGGAUCGGGGACA
This 2404-nucleotide ribosomal RNA is filed under the name Saccharopolyspora antimicrobica. RNAcentral describes it as "bacterial LSU rRNA". It matches the Rfam family "Bacterial large subunit ribosomal RNA", at positions 1 to 2253 of the family's 2925-position model. The record is from RNAcentral. Lineage: Bacteria; Bacillati; Actinomycetota; Actinomycetes; Pseudonocardiales; Pseudonocardiaceae.